GACAGAGGGGGCAAGCGUUGCUCGGAAUUACUGGGCGUAAAGGGCGCGUAGGCGGCCCGGUAAGUCCGCUGUGAAAGUCAAAGGCUCAACCUUUGAAUGCCGGUGGAUACUGUCGGGCUAGAGUCCGGAAGAGGCGAGUGGAAUUCCUGGUGUAGCGGUGGAAUGCGCAGAUAUCAGGAGGAACACCAAUAGCGAAGGCAGCUCGCUGGGACGGUACUGACGCUAAGGCGCGAAAGCGUGGGGAGCGAACAGG
RNAcentral lists this ribosomal RNA (253 nucleotides) under uncultured bacterium. RNAcentral's name for it is "partial 16S ribosomal RNA". It matches the Rfam family "Bacterial small subunit ribosomal RNA", at positions 524 to 776 of the family's 1533-position model. The record is from RNAcentral.